RNAcentral lists this ribosomal RNA (402 nucleotides) under bacterium enrichment culture. RNAcentral's name for it is "bacterial SSU rRNA". It matches the Rfam family "Bacterial small subunit ribosomal RNA", at positions 355 to 774 of the family's 1533-position model. The record is from RNAcentral.
UGGGGAAUAUUGCACAAUGGGGGAAACCCUGAUGCAGCAACGCCGCGUGGAGGAUGACGCAUUUCGGUGUGUAAACUCCUUUUAUCGGUCAAGAAAAUGACGGUAGCCGAUGAAUAAGCACCGGCUAACUCCGUGCCAGCAGCCGCGGUAAUACGGAGGGUGCAAGCGUUACUCGGAAUCACUGGGCGUAAAGGAUGCGUAGGCGGAUUAAUAAGUUGGGAGUGAAAUCCUAUGGCUCAACCAUAGAACUGCUUUCAAAACUGUUAGUCUAGAAUGUGGGAGAGGUAGAUGGAAUUAGUGGUGUAGGGGUAAAAUCCGUAGAGAUCACUAGGAAUACCGAUUGCGAAGGCGAUCUACUGGAACACAAUUGACGCUGAGGCAUGAAAGCGUGGGGAGCAAACA